AGAGUUUGAUCAUGGCUCAGGACGAACGCUGGCGGCGUGCUUAACACAUGCAAGUCGAACGCUGAAGCACCAGCUUGCUGGUGUGGAUGAGUGGCGAACGGGUGAGUAAUACGUGAGUAACCCUGCCCUUGACUCUGGGAUAAGCCCGGGAAACUGGGUCUAAUACUGGAUGCUACAUGUCACCGCAUGGUGGUGUGUGGAAAGGGUUUACUGGUCUUGGAUGGGCUCACGGCCUAUCAGCUUGUUGGUGAGGUAAUGGCUCACCAAGGCGACGACGGGUAGCCGGCCUGAGAGGGUGACCGGCCACACUGGGACUGAGACACGGCCCAGACUCCUACGGGAGGCAGCAGUGGGGAAUAUUGCACAAUGGGCGAAAGCCUGAUGCAGCGACGCCGCGUGAGGGAUGACGGCCUUCGGGUUGUAAACCUCUUUCAGCAGGGAAGAAGCCACAAGUGACGGUACCUGCAGAAGAAGCGCCGGCUAACUACGUGCCAGCAGCCGCGGUAAUACGUAGGGCGCAAGCGUUGUCCGGAAUUAUUGGGCGUAAAGAGCUCGUAGGCGGUUUGUCGCGUCUGCUGUGAAAGCCCGGGGCUUAACCCCGGGUGUGCAGUGGGUACGGGCAGACUAGAGUGCAGUAGGGGAGACUGGAAUUCCUGGUGUAGCGGUGGAAUGCGCAGAUAUCAGGAGGAACACCGAUGGCGAAGGCAGGUCUCUGGGCUGUUACUGACGCUGAGGAGCGAAAGCAUGGGGAGCGAACAGGAUUAGAUACCCUGGUAGUCCAUGCCGUAAACGUUGGGCACUAGGUGUGGGGGACAUUCCACGUUUUCCGCGCCGUAGCUAACGCAUUAAGUGCCCCGCCUGGGGAGUACGGCCGCAAGGCUAAAACUCAAAGGAAUUGACGG
RNAcentral lists this ribosomal RNA (902 nucleotides) under uncultured bacterium. RNAcentral describes it as "bacterial SSU rRNA". It matches the Rfam family "Bacterial small subunit ribosomal RNA", at positions 8 to 916 of the family's 1533-position model. The record is from RNAcentral.